CGCGAUUACGCCAGACCUUGUGAUACGACAAUCGAGAUAACCAUCGAGGACAUAGAGGACGGCAGUUAUUUAAGAGACGAUUUGCUCGAUUUCACAGGUGGGGCCUACGGUCAAGUUUGGAACCCGGAUAAUUAUUUGGUAUUCGUAGUCCUGUCGGGUGGGAACGAUAGUGACAAAGGGAUAGGGAGGCAAGCGUUGGCGUGUAACUUAUUCUUCAUAUUCCGAUUGAUUUGGAGAAUCUUCAAGGGGCGCAAGACUGUAAUCUGUUCGAUGAUCGAAUGUUUCUGGUACGACUCGUUUUUCAACAAAACCCACGUCUACAAAGGCUUGCGGGGUGAAAGGUACUUUGAUUUUACAUGGCGAUCAAUGAACAGAAAAAUGUAUUACUACUACGAUGCCUCUGAAAUGUUAGACCCAAGUAUUGACUUGCGCAUGGGCCUCAGGCAAUGGCAGAUACCCGUUAAAACCACCAUUGAUCUGCUGGGCGAGCUGCGCUCAGGACGCAUUGAGAUGCCUCCGGUGGGGUUUUUCCCAGAGUCAGGGGAGUAUAAAUUUGCGAUAAAACACGACUUGAUUAUAUUAAUUAUCGAUUCGAUUCCUCGCUUGAGGAGCAAGAACUUCGAAAACUUUGACCACACGCCGGUCACCGAUUUUGGCUCACUGUGCCUAUCCGUACCCCGGGAGGGUUUCAAGCCGCAGUACUUAACUGUCUUCAAAUGCUUCAACCAAACGGUUUGGGUGUGCUUCCUGGUUACGAUCGCGACAUUUCUCCUCUUGCAACACUUUCACAAGUGGUUCCAGUUGCAACAAUUAAGACACUUGUACUCCGAGCAUGAAAUUUUCCAGUACGAGGGUCUAUCCACUGCUUUGACUAUCUACAGAUAUCUUCUGUGUGUGGCUCAACCACGUUUGCUUCUCGGGAGACUACCGUCGGGAAAGAUACUUUUCGGUAUUUUUGCCUUCGCAGCGAUUGUCUUAAACACGCUCCUCCAGAGUGGAAUGAUGAACAUCCUCAACGAUCGAGUUCGCUACGACGAUAUCGACACGUUGCAGCAAUUCGCCGAGUCGGAUCUUCUUAUUCAAUCGUCGAACCUCCUGUUGGACCGGGAUUUUUUCAUGCAGGAGGAGCGCUCUUACUCCAUUCCAAAGCGGCUUGUCGGGAGUUUCAGCUACAGUUAUGAGAUUCUCCUAAGUAACCUUUUGUACAAUUACAACUACACUGUCGACUUUUCCGAUGGGUCUAUGUGUCCGUGGUGUGAGUCCAUCGUGAGACAAUCGCAGUUUAAAGUCGCGGCAACGUCAGUAUUAGAGAAUCUCCGAGCUAUCAUGACGUCGGACGCUUUUCUGACCAUCACCUCAUCUCGGAUGACGAAAAAAGACUGGGUGAUUACCGACAUUGGCCUGACGUUUGAGUAUC
This 1417-nucleotide long non-coding RNA is filed under the name Bemisia tabaci. RNAcentral's name for it is "lncRNA ENSSSA1UGG010590". The record is from RNAcentral. Lineage: Eukaryota; Metazoa; Arthropoda; Insecta; Hemiptera; Aleyrodidae.